UUCCACCUCCGCUGAAGCUGCCGGGAGGCCGCGGUGGACGCGCGCCGCCUCCCACCUCCAAGCGGGACAGGUAGAGGGACGCCGCUGCUGACCUCCAAGUCGGGUGCAGGAGAGGGAGACGGCGGACUGGGAUCCGCGACCCAAUCCCCUACGCCUACCAGGUCGUGGUUGCGGCCUUGGUUCGGGCGGGUGCCGCGGUUGGAGGGGAGGUGGAGGCGGAGCUCGAUUUGGAGGGUGCAGAGCUCGAUUCGUCGGCGGCGAAGGUCGAUUUGGUGGCGACUGAGGUCGAUCCGGCAGUGGACCUACAACUGGCCGAAUCCCGCCACGGCACAGCCGGCCGAGGCAAGGCCCUUCGCUGGCGGCGAAGGUGGGGGCACCCUGCCCCAAAGAGCGCCGCUGGCGAUUGCCGAGGUGACAUCAAGGCCCAAGGCAGCGGAGUGGGGAGGACCAGAUGUGGCAUAUGCACGGCAUAGGCAGUGGUCGUGGGGGCGUUCACUAGAGAUGCAGCAGUAGCUUGAAAGGGGGUAGGCAGCAACACUUGAGGGGUCGAUGCCGCCGGCCGCCGGCAACAAAGCCAAGCAAGGUCCCCGCUGCUCCACGCCUGCGUGCGACGCCCCACCGCGGUGGCCUCCAUCUCCGCCAUGCUCAACGCCCCCGCCACGCGGCCACCCUCCCGCGCGGAUCCCCCAGGCUCGUGGGCCGCCUCCUCCACUGCAGCGCCACUGGGGUCCUCCGCUGCGCUGCUGGGGCGCGAGCCCUCCUCUCCGCCUGGGCGGCCCCCUCCUUUCCUGUUCAAGCCUGAUUUGCAUGAUUUAGCACUUGUUCUGCAGUUUUGGAUUAAGGCAUUGGUGGCCCAAGCAAUUGAAGCCAAAAAAGUGAAGGAUCGGAGGGUGUUGGCAUGGCAUCAGUGGGGUGGACGUGGAUGAGGCCAUGCUGAGAUUCUAUGAGAUCAUUUACAAGCGUCAGGAAAUGUCUUCGAUGCUGCAAUCAGAAAAUACAAAAGAUUAUUUGGCACAUAGAAGCACAGAAUCUGUUCACAGAUCCACAAGAUUUCUGAUAGGCGAUGAUAUGGAGCAAAAGGCAGCAGGAAUUGUACUUUGGGACAUGCUCUGGUCAUGCUUUAGAACUACAAUUUGCAUCUGUAAAGGGAUCCUUGUGUUUGCAGUUCUGCCGUCGGACCCAAAAGUAAAUGGAACAAAAAGCAAGUUUCAACUUUGGUUACUAUUCUCACUAUUGUUGCAGGCGUACCUCAAAUACCACUUGAGGCCUCAAUUUGGGAUCCUACAAUACUGCAACAGCCUUAGAUUUGCUGCAACAGAUGAGUACUAUACUGCACUCUGCGUGUUGUUAUAUCCAUUUAGCUGAAAUGUGGCUAAACCAAGAGGUACCGACCAUUGAUCAAGGCAAUGGAAUAUAUGGCACUGAACCAACUGAAACUUCACUGACAUUUCGGUCUGACGAGGUGCUGCGUCCAAGCCACAGUCUUCCGCCUGGAUUGGCCCAGCAGAGCUAGGUCUUGGAGCCAAAAGGAGGGGCGAUGCCCCGCUUCCAACCCACGGAAUAAGUAAAA
Molecule: RNA transcript, 1570 nt
Organism: Panicum virgatum (switchgrass)
Lineage: Eukaryota; Viridiplantae; Streptophyta; Magnoliopsida; Poales; Poaceae
Exons: 7
Source: RefSeq, a predicted model, not a curated record